UACGGAGGGGACUAGCGUUGUUCGGAAUUACUGGGCGUAAAGCGCACGUAGGCGGAUCUGUAAGUCAGGGGUGAAAUCCCGGGGCUCAACCUCGGAACUGCCUUUGAUACUGCAAAUCUCGAGUCCGGAAGAGGUGAGUGGAAUUCCUAGUGUAGAGGUGAAAUUCGUAGAUAUUAGGAAGGACACCAGUGGCGAAGGCGGCUCACUGGUCCGGUACUGACGCUGAGGUGCGAAAGCUAGGGGAGCAAACAGG
This 253-nucleotide ribosomal RNA is filed under the name uncultured bacterium. Its description in RNAcentral is "partial 16S ribosomal RNA". It matches the Rfam family "Bacterial small subunit ribosomal RNA", at positions 524 to 776 of the family's 1533-position model. The record is from RNAcentral.